GAUGUAUAUCUUUUUUUCUGAUAAAAUUCCUUUGUAGUUCAGAGAUAUUUUAGCCAGUUUUUCUUAAAAAUAAUAGCACUUUAUUUUGUCUACUCUCUUCAAAGAACUUUCCUUCCUAUUAUCUUUUAUUUUUCAUUUUCAUGGUAUCUUUGUGAAAUGAAUGGGCAAAUUAUUAUUGUUACAGAUGAAGGAAAUAGAGGUUCAGAGAGAUGAAAAGGUUUUGACAGUGGUAAACAGAAGUGAUGCUAAAAUGUCUUUCUAGGAAUGCCCACUGGGGAGAAUGGAGUGAGUUGAUACUGAGCUAGAAACAGCCUGUUGGAGACGGGGAUCACCCCAGAAGGCAAGGACCCAUUUCCUCUCCACAUGAAGACUGACUAUCCAUACAUCAGUUUUAGGACACAGUGGUAAUGUCAGAUCUGACCUGGGUCACAGUCAUUGUGCAAGCAGAGGAAGGGAGUGACCAAGAGGGGUUACAGUUUCGAGGCUGAGAACAGAAUCCUCAGGAGCCAGAGAAAUGAAGGUGAUUACCCAAAGUGAUCCUUGAGAAGGGAAUUCAGUGCAAUCCUCAGUGAGAAAUUCCGGCCCCAACAGCAGCAAAAGAAACUUUUAUCUGGUAGAUUUAAAAAAUUCCGAACAUGACGUGUUUGUGCUGCAAUUUUUGUUACUUAAAGAAAGAACCAUAUUAGAAACUUUAAAUGAAAAUGCUUUGUAAUUGCAGAAUAAGACAGAUGCACAGUUUGAGAACCUGUCUUUGUGUUUGUUCUUCCAAAUGAAAUAUGAGGAAGUCAUCAUCAAAUUGUGGAAAAAACAACCAGAACCCGCUCAAACAUAUAUUCUGCAUAUAACAGGAAUAUAUUGUAGUAUAUGAAAAUUUUCACUUGAAAUAAAACAUAUUGUAGAAAAUAGAAAAUUACCUAAACAAAUUCAAAAAAGUGUGCAGACACACUUUUAAGGAACAGCUAUGUAGAGAUACACAUACAUCCAGGGUUGUGUAAUUGGGCCAAUACUUCAUUUUUAGCUAUAUUUAUUCUUUUUUUUUUUUUUUUUCCUUUUUAGUCCUGCACCUAUGGCCUAUGGAAGUUCCCAGGCUAGAGGUCAAAUUGGAGUUGCAGCUGCCAGCCACAGCCACAGCCACAGCAGUGCUAGAUCUGAGCCAUAUCUCAUGGCAAUGCUGGAACCUCACCCUACUGAGCAAGGCCAGGGAUGGAACCCACAACUUCAUGGACCCUAUAUUGGGCUCUUAACCCAUUGAGCUGCAAAAGGAAUUCUAAGCUACAUUUAUUCUUAAGAAUUGUUCCUGAACCACAGGUUUCCCUCUUCAUAGCAAGCUAAUUAAAGGAAAAAAAAACAUUUGGCACACUCUUCUCCUGUGUAUGUAUGCAGGUGUGUGGGUAAGUUUGGAGGGAGUUCUUGUUUGUUUAUUGCAUGUGUGUGGAAACCUUUAUUUCCUUAUUUGCGAACACAUAAUUCAUACCUCCCUUAAUAGAACAUGGAUAAUAUAUUCCAAAUGAUCUUCCUCUUGUUAAUCCCGUCUCUAACCCCGGUUUUUGUGUUGAAAAUUCCCACAUGCCCAUAAAUAUGAUCAUCAGGCUCCUAACAUUUAUUCAGUUACCAUUACAAAUAGAAUUCCCCCUCUAAUAUUUCAAAUCCAGUGAAAGUGAAAUCUUUCUUCAGCACUGUACCAGAUAUCGCUAGGAAGGAGCAAGUUAGCCACCAAACUGUUUUGCUUAAGGGUCACUGCUUUGUUUUUCUAUUAAUUCAUUGCAUAUUUCUUGAACACAAUCUAUGUGGCAGGUAUGACCCUAGGUCCUUGAUCUAUAUCAGUAAACAAAACUGACACAAAUCCUUUCCUCUACAGAGACUACAUUCUAGCAUACUUUCACCAAAACACAACUUGAGUUCUCUCUUGUUACCAGAUGGAAUGCUUUAAUCUUUGUAGAGAUACAGUUUAGCAAAGAGUGAAAGUGUGUGGGUACAUCUGAGCCCUAAAAGAGGCCAAGGAUUGAGGAUUUUUUUCUGAAUAUGAUCUCUUUUAAUCCUCACAGCAAUUGUAUUUUUUCACUGAGGAGCCUGGUGUUCAAGGUGAUUUUACACAGCUUGUAUCAGAUAUAACUGCAGUAGAGCCCCUGUUUUCUGCCUUAAAUCUGGUUUCCUCAGAUGGAAAGACACGCUGUGGUUGUUUUUAGCACAAUUCUUUUCCUUAGAUUACAAACUGGCCCCUCAAAGAUACUGAUCUGCUUUUCUAUAUCAAUGCAAAAUACUCUCCCUUACAUAUUUCCUAUCAGAGAAGUAACAAAAAUAUAAAUGCUCCCUCUCAGAAAAUAAAAAAGUCUUCUUCUUUAUCAUGACUGGAUUCUUCUGCUUGCCUCCCCUUCCUCAGAUACCCUCUUUCACUUCCAAAGGUUAUCUGGAGGUCUUGCCCCAACAACACUCUAAUCUGUCCUCUCACAGAGGCUGCACAUUCUUUAUGGUUUAUGUUUUGGCAUAAAAUAACAAACAUAUUUAUAUUGGUCUGGAUGUUGUUGGAUUUCUGUUCCUCUACUAGUUAUCACAGUGCAAGAUUAAAGGUGACCUUUUAUCCAUUUUCACUAUUGGACUGUGAACUCUCUGAGGGAAUGCGUAGUCCAAUCUGCUUUUAGUGCACCAACUUGCUUGGACCAGUGCCUGUAUGUGACCCCAAAAUAUGUCCUCAGCAAUUGGAGACAUCUUCCAAUCCUAUCUGUGUCUCUCUAGGUCCCUAAGAAGCAGACAGCAAGAUGGGAUUAAAAUGUAAGAGGAUUUGGGGGGAGAUGCUGGGGAGGGGGAGUGGAAAGCUGGAGAUAACUGGGUGUCAUCAUCUGGGAAACAGGUUGAAACCCUGUGCAAAAGAAAGAGAAGGAAGCUCUUAAAGUCCAAGCUUCAGCAAAGUGGUCCAGAGCUAGAGUUUCCAUCAGGAAUAGGCAUGUCUCAGUAGCCCUGCUGUCCUCAAGCAUGGGCUUGAUGAAGACCUUAGGAAGAACAUCUUCCAGCAUCACCAUGGGCCAGAGUUCAGAAUGUGGCAGCUGGGCUAUUGGCCAAUUAAAUUCCUCACAGUAGAAGAUCUGGGAGAUACAUUGACCAGACUGAUACAGGACCCUUGAAGCAUCUACUUCCACUCUUAACACAUCAUGUGUAUUCCUUAUAUAUGCAUAUUUUUAUAUACAUAUAUUCCAUGUGCAUUUUUUACACUUACCUAUUUUGCGGCAGCACAAUAGGUUGUUGACCCCACGUAUUUUGUAUUUCAUUUACUUGAAAUUCUAUACAUAUAUACAAAUGAAUGAGUACAAAAUAUAAUUUAUAUAUUUAAAUAUGUAAGCACAGAUGUUAUUUAAUUUAACUAUAGUUAAAACAUCAUUUUAAAGUACUAAAGAAGAAUAUAAAGCAUUAUACAAUGAUUAGAGAGUGGUAUGAGUAAUAAUUUCCAAAUAUAAAUACUAUAUGGUAUAUAAAUAAAUUUUUCAGAUAUAUCGUAAGAAAUAAGUACCUUCUAUUUUUGUAGGAUUAGAGAACUGUCUUGACAUUCUCACAGGCAUAAUGUGCUUUUAAAAUUGUCUAACAUUUGCAUUUGAUAUAUACUUUAUAUGUUAUGUUAUUUGAUAUCUUAGGUAGAAUCACCUAAAUCAGUAUUAAUAGUAGUAGUAGGGAAACACACUAUAAAUUGAGGCAUCUAAAUGAUAAUUAAUUAUUAAGCAAAUAGAAAUUCAAUAUCAAGCAGCCACAUAAGGAAAGGAUUGGUAUCAAAUAAGCACCUUUCGGGAACUCAGAAAUUCCCUCAACUUAAGGAAUUAAUAGUUUCCUAUGUUUAGGUGAAGAUUUUAUUUUUUAUUGAAUAUCUGAUGAUGUGCAGUGAAAUAUAACGUUUGUAGACCAUCACUAAAGAAUCUCUAUUAUACCAUGAAUAAAAUUCUCAUAUUCUUCAAAUUCUUCACCAAGAGCCCAGAGAAACAGUAAGGCAAGCUUAGAAAAGUGAUUUCUCUAACUUUCAAGGGCAUAACUCUAAUAACUCCAUUUAAACCAGCCGAGUGUAGGCGUUAUAUUUGCUGGUGACAAAGCUGCAUAUUUAUGGAUCGUAUUCCCCGAGGCUAUAAAAAACCAGGAACAUGUGGAAGAGAAUUACUUUGAAAAGUCUUAUACAAUAUGAAGAACAGCACAAGAAACAAUUUUAGCCUUUGCAUUUCGGCUUUUUUCUAGUGAAAUUCCCAUCUUCUACACGCCUCAUUGUGGGAGGGGUAAGGGGUAAUACUUUUUCUAAGCUUUCUGCUGACAAUGAAGUUUACUUCCAGUCAUGAUCAAGGACCCUCUUUUCAGCUCAGAUUUAGGGUUUGUUAAAAGUACAGAAUAUACCGUUACAGCACUGAUCUUAACAAAACCUUUCUGAACCUUCAGUUUUGUUUGAUUUUGUAUUUUUAAGCUAAUUGCACACGCCAGAACAUUCUGCAGCAGCUUACUAACAGGGGAAGAGCGGAAAUUCAGCCUUGCUAUUCAGCAUGAACUUUUCAAUGAUUCUGUUUUCUGUAUGAUCAUCAGAAUUUUCCUCCCAUAGCUGGAGACCUGCUGAGAUGUGUAUUUAAGCGCAGGAGUGCAAUAUUAGCCUCAUGUAGCAGGAAGAGAAAACUGUAGCUUUUCAUGUUUUAAAGUCUUUUCUUCUUAGGAUGCUGAUUGCAAGCUAACGGGUAAUAAUUUCCAUCUGGUUGUGUCUUGCACCUGCUUUACACCCCCAUUUUCAUCUUUCUCUUUGAGGAGGAAAGUUUUUGCUUUUUCUUUCAAGAGUGGCUAAUAUCUACUGUAAGAAUACAAAUAGUAACAAACAUGUGGGCUCUCCUAGCUUUCAACAAAAACAAGCUUUAAUUAAAAGGCAGCAGAAGUCAUGAAUCUCUACUUUUUUAGCUAGAAAACAAAUAUGAGAACUCCUGAGAGUUAAUUUUAUUUUAUUUAAUCCUUCCUAAAGCAUCAAUGGCUUGGAAACUAUUGAGGAGGGUUUCAAAAUAACUCACAAAUUAAAUCAAGUUGUAGUUAAUUUUCUACAAAUAAAUGCUUGUGGAAGAAACAUGUGGGAGAAGCAUAUAAAAUCUCACGAAUAAAUGAUAUUCCCUUCCAUUGUCUACAGUGUGUUUUGCACAGACAAAAUGCUGGAAAUUCCCAGUUGAUCUUACAUUUCUGAUUAAAUUAGGGGUGGAGACGAUGAGGGAGUAUUUGGAUUCCAUUUAAAUUUCCAUUCACCAAGGCACAAUGUUCAGAUAAGUCCUGUAACGACCUAUCAACUACAUAUUUGCUUGAUGGGCAGUAAUACUUAACACUAAUAUAAAAUAUUUGUCAAAUUGUAUAUAAAAUCCAAAUUUGCUAUGUGAACGGCAAUUCUGGAGGAUAGUCAAUAUAGCAAGAAAAUGAUGAUCAUUUGAAUACUGGGUGGUGACAUCCAAGGAAUACUGGUAUUGCAGAGAUGUUGAAUUAAAUAUAUUCUCUUCAGGAGUUCCCAUCGUG
Molecule: long non-coding RNA, 5499 nt
Filed under: Sus scrofa (pig)
Lineage: Eukaryota; Metazoa; Chordata; Mammalia; Artiodactyla; Suidae
Description: lncRNA (ENSSSCG00000057598.1)
Source: RNAcentral